CUGGCUCAGGACGAACGCUGGCGGCGUGCCUAAUACAUGCAAGUCGAGCGAAGAUAUCUGGUGCUUGCACUAGAUAACUUAGCGGCGAACGGGUGAGUAACACGUAAAGAACCUGCCUCAUAGACUGGGACAACUACGGGAAACUGUAGCUAAUACCGGAUAACAGAAUUAACCGCAUGGUUAAUAUUUAAAAGUUGGUCAAGCUAACACUAUGAGAUGGCUUUGCGGUGCAUUAGCUAGUUGGUAGGGUAAAGGCCUACCAAGGCGACGAUGCAUAGCCGACCUGAGAGGGUGAACGGCCACACUGGGACUAGACACGGCCCAGACUCCUACGGGAGGCAGCAGUAGGGAAUCUUCCGCAAUGGGCGAAAGCCUGACGGAGCAACGCCGCGUGAGUGAAGAAGGAUUUCGGUUCGUAAAGCUCUGUUGUUAGGGAAGAAAGGUUGUGUAGUAACUAUACACAAAACAGACGGUACCUAACCAGAAAGCCACGGCUAACUACGUGCCAGCAGCCGCGGUAAUACGUAGGUGGCAAGCGUUGUCCGGAAUUAUUGGGCGUAAAGCGCGCGCAGGUGGUUUAAAAAGUCUGAUGUGAAAGCCCACGGCUCAACCGUGGAGGGUCAUUGGAAACUGUUAAACUUGAGUGCAGGAGAGAAAAGUGGAAUUCCUAGUGUAGCGGUGAAAUGCGUAGAGAUUAGGAGGAACACCAGUGGCGAAGGCGGCUUUUUGGCCUGUAACUGACACUGAGGCGCGAAAGCGUGGGGAGCAAACAGGAUUAGAUACCCUGGUAGUCCACGCCGUAAACGAUGAGUGCUAAGUGUUGGUCUCAUAAGAGAUCAGUGCUGCAGCAAACGCAUUAAGCACUCCGCCUGGGGAGUACGACCGCAAGGUUGAAACUCAAAGGAAUUGACGGGGACCCGCACAAGCGGUGGAGCAUGUGGUUUAAUUCGAAGCAACGCGAAGAACCUUACCAAGUCUUGACAUACUGUGAAGAGAUAAGAGAUUAUGUUGUUCUGGCCUAUGGUUAGACACAGAUACAGGUGGUGCAUGGUUGUCGUCAGCUCGUGUCGUGAGAUGUUGGGUUAAGUCCCGCAACGAGCGCAACCCUUAUAUCUAGUUGCCAGCAGUAAGAUGGGGACUCUAGAUAGACUGCCAGUGAUAAACUGGAGGAAGGUGGGGAUGACGUCAAAUCAUCAUGCCCCUUAUGACUUGGGCUACACACGUGCUACAAUGGAUAGGAACAAAGAGAAGCGAAGGCGCAAGUUGGAGCGAACCUCACAAAACUAUUCUCAGUUCGGAUUGUAGUCUGCAACUCGACUACAUGAAGCUGGAAUCGCUAGUAAUCGCGAAUCAGAAUGUCGCGGUGAAUACGUUCCCGGGUCUUGUACACACCGCCCGUCACACCACGAGAGUUUGUAACACCCGAAGACGGUGGCCUAACCUUUAUAGGA
Molecule: ribosomal RNA, 1451 nt
Filed under: Gemella cuniculi
Lineage: Bacteria; Bacillati; Bacillota; Bacilli; Caryophanales; Gemellaceae
Also listed under: 1 other name
Description: 16S ribosomal RNA
Rfam family: Bacterial small subunit ribosomal RNA
Source: RNAcentral